RNAcentral lists this ribosomal RNA (493 nucleotides) under uncultured bacterium. RNAcentral's name for it is "partial 16S ribosomal RNA". It matches the Rfam family "Bacterial small subunit ribosomal RNA", at positions 29 to 507 of the family's 1533-position model. The record is from RNAcentral.
AACGAACGCUGGCGGCGCGUCUUAAACAUGCAAGUCGAACGGCAGGAAGGGGCUUGCCCCUUCUGAGAGUGGCGGACUGGUGAGUAACACGUGGGUGACAUACCUUUUAGUUGAGGAUAGCUAUUAGAAAUAGUAGGUAAUACCGAAUGUGACCGUACCUGUUAGAGGGGUACGAGGAAAGGAGCUAAGGCUUCGCUAAAAGAAUGGCUCGCGGCCCAUUAUGCUCGUUGGUGAGGUAACGGCCCACCAAGGCGAUGAUGGGUAUCCGGCCUGAGAGGGUGAACGGACACAUUGGGACUGAGAUACGGCCCAGACUUCUACGGGAGGCAGCAGUUAAGAAUAUUCCGCAAUGGACGAAAGUCUGACGGAGCGACGCCGCGUGGAUGAAGAAUGCCGAAAGGUUGUAAAAUCCUUUUAAGCCUGAUGAAUAAGCACAGUAGGGAAUGAUUGUGCGGUGACCGUAGGGCUUGAAUAAGCACCGGCUAAUUACGUG